This 301-nucleotide ribosomal RNA is filed under the name uncultured bacterium. RNAcentral's name for it is "partial 16S ribosomal RNA". It matches the Rfam family "Bacterial small subunit ribosomal RNA", at positions 509 to 807 of the family's 1533-position model. The record is from RNAcentral.
CAGUCGCCUCGGGAAUACGUAGGUGGCAAGCGUUGUCCGGAAUUAUUGGGCGUAAAGGGCUCGCAGGCGGUUUCUUAAGUCUGAUGUGAAAGCCCCCGGCUCAACCGGGGAGGGUCAUUGGAAACUGGGAAACUUGAGUGCAGAAGAGGAGAGUGGAAUUCCACGUGUAGCGGUGAAAUGCGUAGAGAUGUGGAGGAACACCAGUGGCGAAGGCGACUCUCUGGUCUGUAACUGACGCUGAGGAGCGAAAGCGUGGGGAGCGAACAGGAUUAGAUACCCCGGUAGUCCCUGUCUCUUAUAC